UGCGUGUGUGUGUGUGUGUGUGUGUGUGUUGUCGAGCGAGCGCGUGUGAAAAAAUUGCAGUUAUACUCAUGCUGUACAAGGCUACUCAUUCUUAAAACAAACCUCACAGUCAUAACCGACCAUGUCAACAAAAUCCGCAGGCCAGUCAAAGCCAGAAAACACAAUUAGAGACGCGGGUCACGACCUGGCGCGCCGUCGACUGUCAAGGCAGAGGGACUCGAGGCCUCUGAAGGCCUUGGGUGAACUCGGUGAAUGGCUGAUAGACCUGCUUUCUGUGCCAAGGCUGUUACAAGACACAACAACUUUAAAAUGUUAAGACCAAAAUAUAUUUUAAUGUACCAUUGUUAAUUAGGUAAG
Penaeus monodon (black tiger shrimp) is the source of this 357-nucleotide long non-coding RNA. RefSeq lists it as uncharacterized. The record is from RefSeq and is a predicted model, not a curated record. The transcript is spliced from 2 exons. Lineage: Eukaryota; Metazoa; Arthropoda; Malacostraca; Decapoda; Penaeidae.